GCCACCGUAGCUCAGUUGGUAGAGCACCGCUUUUGUAAAGCGACGGUCGUCGGUUCGGAUCCGACCGGUGGCU
This 73-nucleotide transfer RNA is filed under the name Phycisphaera mikurensis. Its description in RNAcentral is "tRNA-Thr". It matches the Rfam family "tRNA". Rfam says of the family: Transfer RNA (tRNA) molecules are approximately 80 nucleotides in length. Their secondary structure includes four short double-helical elements and three loops (D, anti-codon, and T loops). Further hydrogen bonds mediate the characteristic L-shaped molecular structure. tRNAs have two regions of fundamental functional importance: the anti-codon, which is responsible for specific mRNA codon recognition, and the 3' end, to which the tRNAs corresponding amino acid is attached (by aminoacyl-tRNA synthetases). tRNAs cope with the degeneracy of the genetic code in two manners: having more than one tRNA (with a specific anti-codon) for a particular amino acid; and 'wobble' base-pairing, i.e. permitting non-standard base-pairing at the 3rd anti-codon position. RNAcentral also lists the same sequence under 1 other name. Lineage: Bacteria; Pseudomonadati; Planctomycetota; Phycisphaerae; Phycisphaerales; Phycisphaeraceae. The record is from RNAcentral.